GGACUGAUUUUCUUCUUUGAGGGAGUUUCAUUUUUGGAGCCAUUCUCACCACAAGAGCAAGCAAGGAGACUUGGAAGAUCAAAUGGGUGAGGAGAAGGAGGGUUAUUAGGGGAUGGAAAGGGAUUUUUGGAGAAGAGAAAUCCCGAUUUGGAGAAGAAUGGUGGAAGCUAGGGCACGCUCCAACCGCUCCAAUCAAGGG
Molecule: long non-coding RNA, 199 nt
Filed under: Elaeis guineensis (African oil palm)
Lineage: Eukaryota; Viridiplantae; Streptophyta; Magnoliopsida; Arecales; Arecaceae
Description: long non-coding RNA (EGUI_LNC074635)
Source: RNAcentral